UAGGGAAUCUUCGGCAAUGGACGGAAGUCUGACCGAGCAACGCCGCGUGAGUGAAGAAGGUUUUCGGAUCGUAAAGCUCUGUUGUUAGAGAAGAACGUUGGUAGGAGUGGAAAAUCUACCAAGUGACGGAAACUAACCAGAAAGGGACGGCUAACUACGUGCCAGCAGCCGCGGUAAUACGUAGGUCCCGAGCGUUGUCCGGAUUUAUUGGGCGUAAAGCGAGCGCAGGCGGUUCUUUAAGUCUGCAGUUAAAGGCAGUGGCUUAACCAUUGUACGCUUUGGAAACUGGAGGACUUGAGUGCAGAAGGGGGGAGUGGAAUUCCAGGUGUAGCGGUGAAAUGCGUAGAUAGAUGGAGGAACGCCGGUGGCGAAAGCGGCUCUCUGGUAUGUAACUGACGCUGAGGCUCGAAAGCGUGGGGAGCAAACAGG
RNAcentral lists this ribosomal RNA (429 nucleotides) under Bacillota bacterium. RNAcentral describes it as "Firmicutes bacterium partial 16S ribosomal RNA". It matches the Rfam family "Bacterial small subunit ribosomal RNA", at positions 355 to 776 of the family's 1533-position model. The record is from RNAcentral. Lineage: Bacteria; Bacillati; Bacillota.